Molecule: ribosomal RNA, 467 nt
Filed under: uncultured bacterium
Lineage: Bacteria
Description: bacterial SSU rRNA
Rfam family: Bacterial small subunit ribosomal RNA
Source: RNAcentral
GAUGAACGCUGGCGGCGUGCCUAACACAUGCAAGUCGAACGGACUAGAAUGAAACCUAGUGAUUUUUAGUUAGUGGCGGACGGGUGAGUAACGCGUGGGCAACCUGCCUCAUACAGGGGGAUAACACUUAGAAAUAGGUGCUAAUACCGCAUAAGCGCACGGAAUCGCAUGAUUUUGUGUGAAAAACUCCGGUGGUAUGAGAUGGACCCGCGUCUGAUUAGCUAGUUGGUGGGGUAACGGCCUACCAAGGCGACGAUCAGUAGCCGGCCUGAGAGGGUGACCGGCCACAUUGGGACUGAGACACGGCCCAAACUCCUACGGGAGGCAGCAGUGGGGAAUAUUGCACAAUGGGGGAAACCCUGAUGCAGCAACGCCGCGUGAGUGAAGAAGUAUUUCGGUAUGUAAAGCUCUAUCAGCAGGGAAGAAAAAAGACGGUACCUGACUAAGAAGCACCGGCUAAAUACGUG